RNAcentral lists this ribosomal RNA (1199 nucleotides) under Escherichia coli. Its description in RNAcentral is "partial 23S ribosomal RNA". It matches the Rfam family "Bacterial large subunit ribosomal RNA", at positions 1 to 1240 of the family's 2925-position model. The record is from RNAcentral. Lineage: Bacteria; Pseudomonadati; Pseudomonadota; Gammaproteobacteria; Enterobacterales; Enterobacteriaceae.
GGUUAAGCGACUAAGCGUACACGGUGGAUGCCCUGGCAGUCAGAGGCGAUGAAGGACGUGCUAAUCUGCGAUAAGCGUCGGUAAGGUGAUAUGAACCGUUAUAACCGGCGAUUUCCGAAUGGGGAAACCCAGUGUGAUUCGUCACACUAUCAUUAACUGAAUCCAUAGGUUAAUGAGGCGAACCGGGGGAACUGAAACAUCUAAGUACCCCGAGGAAAAGAAAUCAACCGAGAUUCCCCCAGUAGCGGCGAGCGAACGGGGAGCAGCCCAGAGCCUGAAUCAGUGUGUGUGUUAGUGGAAGCGUCUGGAAAGGCGCGCGAUACAGGGUGACAGCCCCGUACACAAAAAUGCACAUGCUGUGAGCUCGAUGAGUAGGGCGGGACACGUGGUAUCCUGUCUGAAUAUGGGGGGACCAUCCUCCAAGGCUAAAUACUCCUGACUGACCGAUAGUGAACCAGUACCGUGAGGGAAAGGCGAAAAGAACCCCGGCGAGGGGAGUGAAAAAGAACCUGAAACCGUGUACGUACAAGCAGUGGGAGCACGCUUAGGCGUGUGACUGCGUACCUUUUGUAUAAUGGGUCAGCGACUUAUAUUCUGUAGCAAGGUUAACCGAAUAGGGGAGCCGAAGGGAAACCGAGUCUUAACUGGGCGUUAAGUUGCAGGGUAUAGACCCGAAACCCGGUGAUCUAGCCAUGGGCAGGUUGAAGGUUGGGUAACACUAACUGGAGGACCGAACCGACUAAUGUUGAAAAAUUAGCGGAUGACUUGUGGCUGGGGGUGAAAGGCCAAUCAAACCGGGAGAUAGCUGGUUCUCCCCGAAAGCUAUUUAGGUAGCGCCUCGUGAAUUCAUCUCCGGGGGUAGAGCACUGUUUCGGCAAGGGGGUCAUCCCGACUUACCAACCCGAUGCAAACUGCGAAUACCGGAGAAUGUUAUCACGGGAGACACACGGCGGGUGCUAACGUCCGUCGUGAAGAGGGAAACAACCCAGACCGCCAGCUAAGGUCCCAAAGUCAUGGUUAAGUGGGAAACGAUGUGGGAAGGCCCAGACAGCCAGGAUGUUGGCUUAGAAGCAGCCAUCAUUUAAAGAAAGCGUAAUAGCUCACUGGUCGAGUCGGCCUGCGCGGAAGAUGUAACGGGGCUAAACCAUGCACCGAAGCUGCGGCAGCGACGCUUAUGCGUUGUUGGGUAGGGGAGCGUU